Molecule: ribosomal RNA, 440 nt
Filed under: uncultured bacterium
Lineage: Bacteria
Description: bacterial SSU rRNA
Rfam family: Bacterial small subunit ribosomal RNA
Source: RNAcentral
CCUACGGGUCGCAGCAGUGGGGAAUAUUGGACAAUGGGCGCAAGCCUGAUCCAGCCAUGCCGCGUGAGUGAAGAAGGCCUUAGGGUUGUAAAGCUCUUUCACCGGUGGAGAUAAUGACGGUAACCGGAGAAGAAGCCCCGGCUAACUUCGUGCCAGCAGCCGCGGUAAUACGAAGGGGGCUAGCGUUGCUCGGAAUGACUGGGCGUAAAGGGCGCGUAGGCGGUUUAUGCAGUCAGAUGUGAAAUCCCCGGGCUUAACCUGGGAACUGCAUUUGAGGCGCAUAGACUAGAGGUCGAGAGAGGGUUGUGGAAUUCCCAGUGUAGAGGUGAAAUUCGUAGAUAUUGGGAAGAACACCGGUGGCGAAGGCGGCAACCUGGCUCGAUACUGACGCUGAGGCGCGAAAGCGUGGGGAGCAAACAGGAUUAGAUACCCCUGUAGUC